Molecule: transfer RNA, 64 nt
Filed under: Crangon hakodatei
Lineage: Eukaryota; Metazoa; Arthropoda; Malacostraca; Decapoda; Crangonidae
Description: tRNA-Phe
Rfam family: tRNA
About the family: Transfer RNA (tRNA) molecules are approximately 80 nucleotides in length. Their secondary structure includes four short double-helical elements and three loops (D, anti-codon, and T loops).
Source: RNAcentral
AACUAAAUAGCUCAAAGAGAGCAUUACAUUGAAGCUGUAAAGGUGAUUUAUUAAUCUUUAGUUA